This 628-nucleotide ribosomal RNA is filed under the name Janthinobacterium sp. UA-VH0604. RNAcentral describes it as "bacterial SSU rRNA". It matches the Rfam family "Bacterial small subunit ribosomal RNA", at positions 55 to 678 of the family's 1533-position model. The record is from RNAcentral. Lineage: Bacteria; Pseudomonadati; Pseudomonadota; Betaproteobacteria; Burkholderiales; Oxalobacteraceae.
AUGCAGUCGAACGGCAGCACGGAGCUUGCUCUGGUGGCGAGUGGCGAACGGGUGAGUAAUAUAUCGGAACGUACCCUAGAGUGGGGGAUAACGUAGCGAAAGUUACGCUAAUACCGCAUACGAUCUAAGGAUGAAAGUGGGGGAUCGCAAGACCUCAUGCUCGUGGAGCGGCCGAUAUCUGAUUAGCUAGUUGGUAGGGUAAAAGCCUACCAAGGCAUCGAUCAGUAGCUGGUCUGAGAGGACGACCAGCCACACUGGAACUGAGACACGGUCCAGACUCCUACGGGAGGCAGCAGUGGGGAAUUUUGGACAAUGGGCGAAAGCCUGAUCCAGCAAUGCCGCGUGAGUGAAGAAGGCCUUCGGGUUGUAAAGCUCUUUUGUCAGGGAAGAAACGGUGAGAGCUAAUAUCUUUUGCUAAUGACGGUACCUGAAGAAUAAGCACCGGCUAACUACGUGCCAGCAGCCGCGGUAAUACGUAGGGUGCAAGCGUUAAUCGGAAUUACUGGGCGUAAAGCGUGCGCAGGCGGUUUUGUAAGUCUGAUGUGAAAUCCCCGGGGCUCAACCUGGGAAUUGCAUUGGAGACUGCAAGGCUAGAAUCUGGCAGAGGGGGGUAGAAUUCCACGUGUAG